CAGCCGCCGCGGUAAAACGAAGGGUGCAAGCGUUACUCGGAAUUACUGGGCGUAAAGCGUGUGUAGGUGGUUGUUUAAGUCUGUCGUGAUAGCCCUGGGCUCAACCUUGGAAUUGCGAUGGAUACUGGGCGACUAGAGCGCGGUAGAGGAUAGUGGAAUUUCCGGUGUAGCAGUGAAAUGCGUAGAGAUCGGAAGGAACAUCUGUGGCGAAGGCGACUAUCUGGGCCAACACUGACACUGAGACACGAAAGCGUGGGGAGCAAACAGGAUUAGAUACCCCAGUAGUCCCUGUCUCUUAUAC
This 301-nucleotide ribosomal RNA is filed under the name uncultured bacterium. RNAcentral describes it as "partial 16S ribosomal RNA". It matches the Rfam family "Bacterial small subunit ribosomal RNA", at positions 509 to 807 of the family's 1533-position model. The record is from RNAcentral.